Molecule: microRNA, 18 nt
Filed under: Chiloscyllium plagiosum (whitespotted bambooshark)
Lineage: Eukaryota; Metazoa; Chordata; Chondrichthyes; Orectolobiformes; Hemiscylliidae
Description: microRNA PC-3p-760533_2
Source: RNAcentral
AUGUGUUCUGAAGGAUAA